RNAcentral lists this long non-coding RNA (402 nucleotides) under Meriones unguiculatus (Mongolian gerbil). RNAcentral's name for it is "lncRNA (ENSMUGG00000020004.1)". The record is from RNAcentral. Lineage: Eukaryota; Metazoa; Chordata; Mammalia; Rodentia; Muridae.
UCCAGGUGUUUACCAUGAAAAGCCAUUGCUUACUGUUGAUUCAGAACCCCAGGGACUCUCAGAAAGAAAUGUGACUCUCCUCUGUCAUCCACCUACUUUCUUUGACACCUUCAUCUUCUGCAGAGAUGGAAAUGCUUCCUUUCCCCAGAACUGCUUAUGUCAGGACUCCAACACAUUUCCUAUCUCUCCUGGGAGCUCAAGGCACAGGAGUACCUAUAGAUGCUUUGGCUCUUACAGAGACAACCCUAACCUGUGGUCACUGCCUAGUGACCCUCUUGAGCUCUCUUUCUCAGCUCCAGCCCAGCCCUGGACAUUGAAGAAAACAAUAAAUAUGAUGACUUGGAGGGCAUUCAACCUGAGAACAGCAGCCAGGUGGACACACAGGUGAGCUCUCUUUUCCUC